AAAUAGAUAACCUGUUGUGUGGCUAUGUAUUCAUGCCUAGCUUUCUUUCUGAGAAGAGCACGAACGAAAGACUUCGCUUUCCCCAAAAUUCACUCAGACUUGAACAUACUUCGAGCUUACUUUGAAAACUCAAACUUCAAACUCCAAUGCCGCUCUGAAAACUCAAAAAUUAUUUUGAUCUGGGAGGCGUCUAUCGAGAAUAGAAACAACCACAAAUAGAAGCUGUUUUCCGAUGCUGGCCAAAAAUCCUCCUCUCAGCAGAUCUGACGCCGACCACCAAUGCCUGCAAUCCUUGUAGCGAGUCACUGACUGGAUUCAUUGGUUCAAAGGAGAUGAUGCUCCUGAUUGAAGCGGUGGUGACUGAAAGAAAGAAAAGAAUUGGGACAAAACUCCGGGUCUAAUCUUAACAAGAAGUUUCUAGCAAUAUAUCAUAGCAAAGGAAAUUGAGCUCUCUAGUGGAGAAACCGAAACGGGGCUAGAGGACAGCGAAGCAACAAAAGCCCAAUUAGUUGCAACGAAAGCACAAUUGGCCGAAUUCUCAACCAAGCUUGAAGCUGCCUUUAAUGCUUCUGUGGACAAACUUCAAAACUCUGUGAUAUGUUAGUUGGCGAAGAACAAGGAACCGCGAAGAGAGUGCAUAUUAGGACUACAUUACAGCUUGGGUAUGCCGUCGGCCAUCAACGAGGUUCUAGAAAACUCAUUGGUGGACACAACUUGCUUGACCAGAGGAGCUAGCUGGUCUAGUUGGAACAUAACUUCCAAACAGCCAGGGAGUUGGCCGAAAUCGACACUCGAGUGGAAGAAAUGAGUACCACGGAUGGAGCACUUUUUCGGCCUCUCAUGGAAAAAGUUUGGUAUUUAUGAUAGCAUUAAAAUGUUUGAGAAAGAAAUCUACAUGGACCGGCCUCUUCUUGCUGUUGCCUUAUGUUUUUGGUCAUCUGCUACUAACACCAUGAACCUGCUGCUUGGGUCAAUGAGUCCAACCUUGCUAGAUAUGGUUGCAAUAUUUGGUUUUCGGCUGAAUGGAGAGGAGAUAUGUGCCUUAGCUAACCUUCCUUCCUCUUUUCAUGCUAGCCUGAAACCUAAAGUGAACAAGGACGACAAGAAGGCCAAACAAAAAGCAGAUGUUAAAGCAAGGAAGUUGCUUAACUAUAGCACCUUCUACGCCGAACAUGCAAUUGCUGAAGAUGUGUCCGCGGUUGAGAGGCACAACCCAAAACAACAUGAGCAAGCCGCUUUCCUCCUCUAUUAGUUAUGCAAAUAUGUGUUUUGCACUAAGUCGAAUAAGUGUUUGUUCGAGUUCGCUGGUAUUGCAGAGGCCUUUAGCUUGGGUAAACCUUUAGCCCUUGGUCCAUUUGUCCUUGCCUAUCUUUACCGUACUUUGCGCAAUGUAGUGACCAACAAUAUGACACUAGAUGUUGGAGGGCCACUAUGGAUGUUUCAGGUAUGGGUGCAAACUUACUUUCGUCAGCUUUGGCCAAGUCGUGCUUUUGAUUCCACUGUGACUCUCGGCCGACAGAUCAUCUCUCUUGGUCCUCAUGCACAUUCAGUAGUAGAGUGCUUUUCUUUCUUCCUUUCGAAAAAGAGCAUGACCAGGGAAGAGUUUGCCAUAUGUUAUAGUUGAGAUUAUCCUUCUUGUCUUGCAUUUGACAUAACUAAGCCAUGGGAGAGUUCUUUGGACUUAUCAGUACUUCUACCUUGGGGAAGCAUUAUGAUUUCUAGAGACAUAAACUAUGGUCUCAAGGGUACACUGGGUCGGCCAGGGGUUAAGGUUUACCUUCUAAACUUUGUUACGAGUUAGCUUGGCUUCAUACAAAGUUGUCCAGCCUUCUUUCUAAUGUCCCGGAAUCAUUUUUCUUCAUGGAGAGGUGGGUUUACAGACACUACGCAUUGUUCGGCUAUCACUCUUCAUUAUCAUACUCAAUUUGGCAAGUUUGAGAGAUUUGACAUGAGCGCCCGCAAACCUGAACAUCGAUCAACCCCGACUUUCCAAGCAUGGUGGUCAACAUUUAUCAAGAAGAAACUUAGAGAGGACUUGCGGACAACCGAGUGUAUUGCCUUGUAUGUAUUUCCGGGCUUGUUCGCCAAAAAAGGCAAUGGCAAGAAGAAAGCACCGGUUGCCAACUCGAAAUCCAAAGAAUUGUCCAAGGAAGGUAAAUCCUAACUCAUCAUCUGACCGUCGCUAAUUUCUUUAAUUGCUAAUUUUUCUAUCUUUCAGAGCAAACAUCAAAGAAACGAGGAUCAAAGUCAGGAAGAGCUUUGCCUACCAAGAAGGUAAAGAAGUCGCCUGAUGUGGUGGAGAGUUCGGUCACAAAUCCAACCGACGUUAUGGUUAGUGAAGACAUAAUCUUCGAGGAUGAUAUGGAUAUAGAAUAGCCAAAAUGCUCUAGCUGAAAAUCACAUCAUGUCUGGAGCUAAAGAUGCAGCCAAAACUAGUGAUGCCUCAACCAACAGCAUGGACUCGGCCGAUAGCGAAGGUUUGCCUGAUGAAGCACAGUCGGAAAACUUUGAACAUGAGUAGAAAGAUGGCCACAUUGAUCACUCUUUGCAACCUUCUGAGAGCUCCAUGGUUGAAAUUGAUACGGAUGACUUGGGUGAGAACCAGCUUCCUAAUAUUGACCAACCACUCGCAAACUCAGCCAACCUUGCUAAGGAUGCGGAAGACAUCGGUGUACUUGGCCGAGAGGCAUUGCUUAACAACCAAGCACUUGUCCUGCUAAGAUAUUUCAAUCCGGUUUGGUGUGCAUCGCUCCCAUAUUCUAGAAACAACUUGAACCUUUAUUGUUUGUGCAGGUACCAGAAUCUCGAAGCGGUUCAACCUUGGAAUUAGCUCUUCUCAACCCAACUGAACCAAAUCCUUCUAUGUUCGGAAUGCUUACCUCCCCUCUUACCGAAGGGAUGCCCCGAAGUGAUCAAGCUAUCAUUUGCGCCCCAUCAUCGGCUAAGCCUAUGGUGAGUGACUAAACAACUUUAGGUUUUGUUCGCCCUAGCUAAAUUAAAUCAACCUCGUAAGAGUUUGAAGCCGGCGAGAAGUUGAAAAGUGAGUAUGAUGACAUUCACCAAUCUACCGAUCUUGGCCAACUCCAAAAGUUGAAGACUUCUUUGGACGAGGGAAGGUAAAAAGUGCUUGAUCUGAGGAAGCAGUUGGCCGAGGCUAAUGAGCAAGUUAAAGUCACUUCGACCGCCAUCCGAACCGUUAUUCCCCAACAAGAUCUCACCAGGUAUAGCUUGAUUUUGUCAUCGAUCAAGUCGUAUAACAUAAAGAGGGGCAUCUUGAAGCGAAAGGUCAACCAAGGUAUGCAAGACUUAGAAAAUGUUAAAGAAGCUCUUCGGUCACUCUUGCCUAUUGAUUAGUUAAUUUAGGAUGUGAUAUUCAUCUCGGCUUAUAUUUUGUACAUGGCCUUAGUCCCGUAACGCAGCCGGUUGAUACGUCUUUGUAGAGUCUAACCGACCUUAUCUGUUGGACUCAUACUCUAAUUUUGCGUAUGUGACCAGUUAAUCAUUCGGUCGUUAUUUUGUCACUUGAUUCGGCCUCUUUUGACUUAAUAUAUCUUGGUCA
Molecule: RNA transcript, 3559 nt
Organism: Rosa chinensis
Lineage: Eukaryota; Viridiplantae; Streptophyta; Magnoliopsida; Rosales; Rosaceae
Exons: 5
Source: RefSeq, a predicted model, not a curated record